CCUCUGUAUAAUUUUCAUACUCAACUUUAAUAAUCUGUCUUAUUUAGAAUUUUUUUAUAGAUUAGUAUUUUUAUUGUUAUGAGAUGUUAAAAUAUGAAUAGUAGUUUAUAUGUGACUUAUGUUUUUUAAAAAAAUUUUAAAAAAAAUAAAUAAGAAGAACGGUCAAAAUUAUGCACGAAAAAUGAUAGCUGCAUUUAAA
RNAcentral lists this microRNA precursor (199 nucleotides) under Oryza sativa Indica Group (long-grained rice). RNAcentral's name for it is "MIR812 microRNA precursor family". It matches the Rfam family "MIR812 microRNA precursor family". Lineage: Eukaryota; Viridiplantae; Streptophyta; Magnoliopsida; Poales; Poaceae. The record is from Rfam by way of RNAcentral.